This 242-nucleotide ribosomal RNA is filed under the name uncultured bacterium. RNAcentral's name for it is "partial 16S ribosomal RNA". It matches the Rfam family "Bacterial small subunit ribosomal RNA", at positions 15 to 239 of the family's 1533-position model. The record is from RNAcentral.
GAUCAUGGCUCAGGAUGAACGCUGGCGGCGUGCUUAACACAUGCAAGUCGAACGAAGCAAUCUAACGGAAGUUUUCGGAUGGAAGCUAGAUUGACUGAGUGGCGGACGGGUGAGUAACGCGUGGGUAACCUGCCUCACACUGGGGGACAACAGUUAGAAAUGACUGCUAAUACCGCAUAAGCGCACGGGACCGCAUGGUCCAGUGUGAAAAACUCCGGUGGUGUGAGAUGGACCCGCGUUUG